UUAAUGUUACCUGCGUUUCGCGUUCUGCAUGAAUGGACCCUAAUUAUCACGAUCCAUUAAAUAUCACUCUUUCUAAACACCGAGCAUAUAUUAAUAAUUGUUAUUUAGACACUGACAGUGCGUUAUUAAUCAGGAUCUGUGCACACUAAAAAAUCCUGGGUUAUUUUUUCUACCCAAGUGCUGGGUUGAGCCAUUUGGGUAAAUUUUUUGGGUUAUUUUCUCAGUCUUGGGUAGUUUUUGGGUAGUUCUAUGUAACCCAACCGCUGGGUUAUUUUCUGGGUCGUUUUCACUGAGAGCUGAAUCAAUGCACCCCCUCCCCCACUCGGACGCAAUAACCCAGCUCAUUGGGUCAAAUCAACUCCGCGCAGGAUCAGCGCAGCGCGGGCUGACUGAAUUCGAGGUGGAGGUGGAUGCCACACACACGCUGUAAUAUUUGGAGAAAUAAGACCUGCUCUUGACUGUCCGUGGUGGCAAAUCCACAGCCUUUAGCUGGAGAAUCAACCGUAUCUGAAGAGAGAGCUGAGGAAAUUAAACAAUGGCUGAGAAACAACACACAGCCCAUCAGCCAGGUGGAACAGUACAUCUGAAAAAUAUGUUUGAGGUCCUCCAUGAGUUUCCUCGGCUAACUACCUCAGGCAUGAUUGCACAGGACUUUCACAUUUUACAUUAAGAUGAAGCCCCAAAACUGUUUGAAAAAUGGCUGGUAUACUGACAGGAUCUUGCUUUUUGUGAGCGAGAAGCAAAGCUUUCAUGUACAGCUGAAGAAAUGACAGAAGAUGCAAAGGGAAAUCUUGCACUAAAGCUAUUACCUGUUUUGCUUCUACCUCCACCCUACAAAUUUGGCAGAAAAACAGUCCGACCCAGCAUUGAUGAAAGCAAAAAAGCUUUCAUUGACAUUCAGCCUGUUGGAACAAAUAUGGUGGAGUACCUCCAGCAGGCUGAAGCAUCAAGACCUUACCCAUAUGUCCUGUAACUUGAAAAUGGACACAUUGCGUCGCGGGCAUUUGUCAUCCUCGCAGGAGAAGCUUUGGAACAAAGAACUAUUGUUUAAGGGGAAGUCAUGGCCUAAUGGUUAGAGAGUUGGACUCGCAAUUUAAGGGUUGUGUGUUCGAGUCUCGGGCCGACAGGAAUUGUAGGUGAGAGGAGUGAAUGUAUAGUGCUCUCUUCCACCCUCAAUACCACGACUUAGGUGCCCUUGAGCAAGGCAUCGAACCCCCAACUGCUCCCCGGGUGCCGCAGCAUAAAUGGCUGCCCACUGCUCCGGGUGUGUGUUCACAGUG
Carassius auratus (goldfish) is the source of this 1280-nucleotide long non-coding RNA. RefSeq lists it as uncharacterized. The transcript has 6 exons. The record is from RefSeq and is a predicted model, not a curated record. NCBI's taxonomy places the organism in Eukaryota, Metazoa, Chordata, Actinopteri, Cypriniformes, Cyprinidae.